UACGAAGGGAGCUAGCGUUGUUCGGAAUCACUGGGCGUAAAGCGCACGUAGGCGGAUUUGUCAGUCAGGGGUGAAAUCCCGGGGCUCAACCUCGGAACUGCCUUUGAUACAGCAAGUCUUGAGUUCGAGAGAGGUGGGUGGAAUUCCUAGUGUAGAGGUGAAAUUCGUAGAUAUUAGGAAGAACACCGGUGGCGAAAGCGCUCUGCUGGACCUUAACUGACACUGAGGGACGAAAGCUAGGGGAGCGAAUGGG
RNAcentral lists this ribosomal RNA (253 nucleotides) under uncultured bacterium. RNAcentral describes it as "partial 16S ribosomal RNA". It matches the Rfam family "Bacterial small subunit ribosomal RNA", at positions 524 to 776 of the family's 1533-position model. The record is from RNAcentral.